GUAAAGUUUUAUUUUGGCUUAUAAAGUUAUUUUUAAUUUAUUUUAUAUGUAAAUUUUUGUGUGAAUUAUUAUUUAUUUUAAUAAUAAAUAAUUUAUAAUUAAUCGCAGUAAUUAGUAUUAUUAAUUAAAGAAAUUUAGAAAUAGUAAUAUUAAAGAGAAUUGGCUAAAUUCGUGCCAGCAGCCGCGGUUAUACGAAUAAUUCAAGUAACUUAAUUUUAGUAGAAGUUAAAUUGAUAUUUUUUAAAUAUAAAUAAAUUUAUUAAGUGAAAUUUUAAAUUUAUAUACUUUUAAAAAUUAGAAUAAUUGAAGCUUAGAAAUUUUAAUAAAAAACUAGGAUUAGAUACCCUAUUAUUUAAAAUGUAAUUAAAAAUACAAAAGUAGUAUUAGUUAUGUUCUUGAAACUUAAAAAAUUUGGCGGUAUUUUAGUCUAUUCAGAGGAACCUGUUCUAUAAUCGAUAAUCCACGAUGGACCUUACUUAAGUUUGUUAAUCAGUUUAUAUACCGUCGUUAUUAGAAUAUUUUAUAAGAAUAAUAAUUUUCAUAAUAUUUUAUUAAAUUAUAUAUCAGAUCAAGGUGUAGCUUAUAUUUAAGAAGAAAUGGGUUACAAUAAAUUUAUUUAAACGGAUAUAAAUAUGAAAAGUUUAUUGAAGGUGGAUUUGAUAGUAAAAUUAUAAAGAUUAAUAAUUUGAUUUUAGCUCUAAAAUAUGUACACAUCGCCCGUCGCUCUUAUUAAUAAGAUAAGAUAAGUCGUAACAUAGUAGAUGUACUGGAAAGUGUAUCUAGAAUGAC
RNAcentral lists this non-coding RNA (789 nucleotides) under Spelobia clunipes. The record is from RNAcentral. Lineage: Eukaryota; Metazoa; Arthropoda; Insecta; Diptera; Sphaeroceridae.